RNAcentral lists this long non-coding RNA (11871 nucleotides) under Linum usitatissimum (flax). RNAcentral describes it as "long non-coding RNA (LUSI_LNC004304)". Lineage: Eukaryota; Viridiplantae; Streptophyta; Magnoliopsida; Malpighiales; Linaceae. The record is from RNAcentral.
UCUCUAUCCUUGGGAGGAAGCUGAGGCUCUGUGGCAGCUUGUCUCGGAGGUGAUGCAGCUGAUGUUGAUUUCUUGAAUUUCUCUGUACUAGGAGAAGACUCGGAUUUAGAAGUUUGUUUUACCUCAUCUUUCUUUUCAGAUGGCUUAGGUGCAGCAGUCUCUGGUAAUUUUUCAGAUGGAGCAACAUGAGAUACCCCUUCACCAGACUUUGAAAUGAUAGCAACCAUUGUUCCUGGCUCAACAGUGUCUCCUUCUUUGGCUACAAACUGCAAAUAUUCAGGCAGAAAAUUAACAUCAUUUUUGUAGUCUAAAUCAUCUGACAGAAUGUUGCAUGAUCCACAAGUGUUCUAGACAAAGAUGUAUUACCUCUUUUAUCACACCCGCUUCUGGACUAGCAACAUCAAUUGUCACCUGGGCAAGGAUGGAUGUUAUCAGCAUUCCAGUGAAAGUUAAGAGUUUAACUUCUGAGUAAGAGGGAAAAAUGAAUAACGGCCUGCAUGUAGUACCUUAUCUGUCUCAAUUUGUGCAAUAGGCUCAUCAACUUCAACCCUGUCACCAGGUUCUGCAAACAACAAAUGCACAAGAAAUUAGAAACAGUCUCAUUUAAAAAAAUAUAACGAUAAUGACAAUAUUGCUCUAAGAGAACAUACUCCUCAUUUUAAAAAAUAUAACGAUAAUGACAACAUCGCUCUAAGAGAACAUACUCUUUAAGAAUGUAGCUAGUGUGCCGUCAGUAAUGGAUUCACCCAUGAAAGGUACAACAGCAUGAGCCAAAUCCUCUGCAUGAUUGAAACAAUAAUAUAAUGUCAGGCAAUCUCGGAUGUAUUAUAACUUCUAAGCUCAGGUGAGGAUGUACGAGGAUAAUAACUAUAUUUAGUUAUCACACUAUACUGCAAGUCUUCAGAGCAUUACUGUUGCUAGAAAUAUAGACAAACAAAAUUACACAUGAACCUAAUGCAAGUAAUACAAAUUAUUGAGUAUGCUUUGAAUCUUUAUUAACUUGCGAAAAUCCAACGUUGACAGUAUUAAAGCAUGAUUAUCCCAUUAAAUAAAAAAGGAACGAUAUAAUAACAAAUGUAUGGAUAGCUGAUUUUGGUUCUCGACAGAUGCUAGAAUACAUGACAACCAUGGCCUACUAGUCAAGGACAGUACAAUCUGAAUAUGGCAUUAAUUCAUUCAUAAAGAGAUGGCAAGAAGUUACAAAAGGAGUAUCAAGUUCAUACCACUAUCAGAAGAAAAUCCCCUGGUCCAAGUUUGCCUAGAGGUCAUCAGUUCAGUGAUUAAGUUAACACCCCUGUUUAUAACAAAGCAUAACUCAACUCAGAAAAUUCAUCCUCCAAGUAUAGGAUAGAAUAACACUGAAAGGGGCUCAGGAUACAUGUUACUAUUAGCCCACCAUAUAAAUCUCCUAGUCCUGAACCACUUUGAAUUAAACAGAGGCAGUAUCAUUUCCUUACAUUUCAAUUUUGAGAAUGAUCCAUUUCAUGUGUUUGCCUAUAUCAUAAUUACGCACUAAUGACAAUGCUGGCGUAACAUACUCCGGAAGGGAUUAAAUAAUGAUCUGCACUGCACCAGGCACAAAAAUACAAUUUCCUAUGCACACUCGCGCACACAUUUUAUCCAAUUAUACGAAACUGCAGCAAUACAGCACGAGACCCUAGGGAACAGGAGUCGACGAAUAGAAGUAUAGAAAGCCCAACAUACAAUUUAUGUCGUGAAAUUGAUUCAUGGUUCAAGAAAUAAUAUUGGUUUACACUUGCUACAACCGAACGUAUUCAGACAGUAUUUAAGGCAGAAAUAGGAUUGAUGCCCCUAACCUUUUAGGUGUCGAACAAACAAUGGAACCUGUAAUAACAAAAGAUUCUCACAUUAGCAUCCAUGAGAGUACCGACAAUCAAGCGCAAACUUGCCUAAUUAUCACCUGGCAAGAGAAGACGACUAUAGUUCCGGACAUGUGUAAGUCGUUUUAGAUUAAGCAAAACCUGUUCAAAUGUUAUUAAACAUUAAACACUUAUGAGAGUAGUGUUUAUAAGCCACAAAAUCACAUAUUUCAAUAACGAUUGAGGUAACUCCUAACCGCAUCCUCAUAUGGUAUCCAGUUCCCCUUAUUUUAAAGAUUAAAACUGGUCAUUCAUCCAGCGAAGAACAAUAGAAGGUGACUAUGAACUCGAGUAAAGGGAACAAAUAAUUGUCUCCCUAAAUUAAAUUUAAUCUAUCAAGAAGUAACGAAGAACAGAGGAAAAGGAAAAUUGUCCAGAACAAACAAUAACCUCAGUUUCUGCAGCAUAGGCAGCUCCAGGCGUGGACGCUGCAGGUCGAAGAUUCUGCAGAGACUGCUUCAAUAUCUAACACGAAUUACAGAAAAGUCAAACUCCAUGAAAUAGUCACUCCAAAUCGAGGAAUCGCCGGAAAGGAACUGACAAGAUAUAUGGAAACCAAAUCGAUCUGACUUAUGAGGAAAGGGGAAAAAAUCGAAUGUUCUAACCGAAGAAGAAGAGGAACUGCCGGUAGCAAUUCUCCUCCUGAGAACGCCGAACAUUGUUGCUUCGAUCUCUGCUUUGACAAUCAAACAAGAAACUCUUGAAAUAAAUUCCUAAAAGCACAAUCCAGAAAAAAAGCCACAGAGCAAACAAAAAUGCAAUUUUCAGAAGCAAACAAACUCACGCAACGAAUAAAAUCCAUGACAUAACAAGAUCAAAAGAAAGACACGCGAAUGCAGGGGAAGGGCUCUGACCUGAUGAUGGCCAGCCUUUUGACGGGGAAAUUGAACGUAGCACAAACGAUUGAUGGAGGACGGAAGUAGGGUUUCCCCUUAUGGCGCAGAGAGAGAAAGAGCGAGGAGAAUGAAAAGGGGAAAUGGUGGCGGGGGUAUUCGGGCUCGGGAAAGAGAAGGAAGGUGCUGGGGAAUUCGGGUCGAAACUGGAUGUUGAACAGCUUACGUGGCCUACUUGUUACUGUCUAUGGUAAUUGCUUUAUGCUGUCAGGAGAGCAACAGAAGAACGUUGUGCUGAAUUUUGAAUUCAGCAUUCAUGCCGGAUACUUAAAGGCCGUUAGAUUUUCUACUUUUAAUGCCUCUUCUCAAUCUAAAGGCUCCUACUUUUCAGAGGUUUUGGUAUUUAAUUUUUUUUAUUUUCUUAUUUUUUAAAAAAAUUAACAUUUAAAAGUUCGAUUUUUAUUUUCUUUAUAUAGAAAUAUUCAUUUUUCAAAGAUUAAUCUUAAAGGUUGAUAUUGACUUUAUUUUGAUAACUUUAAAAAUUAUAUUUUUUUAUUUUAUUUCGAGCAUAACUUCUUUGUUUCAAGUUUGAUUUUAAUAUUCUUGAUAUGGCUAAUAACUACGUCUAAGUUGUUAAUAACUAUCUAUAAGUUGAUGAUAACUACACCUUACUUUAGUUAUUAAUAACGACCUUAAAGUUAUUAAUAAUUACAUCAAAGUUGUUAAACAACUACUUGUGGAAGUCUCUAAAUAAGGUUAUCUUCGAACAUAUGCAACUGUCGAUCCACUUCCUUGCAAGGCAAUUCACGUUUCCCUCCCUCAAUAACUAUGUUUAACUCAAUAACAAUCAUGUUUCCCUCCCUCACAUAUACCUCAUGUUUUCAUCGACCAUACAUACAUCUAACCUGCUAAUACCUACGUCAAAGUUGUAAUGCCUAGGUUUAAGUUGCAAUAACUAUGUUUUCUCCCUUAUAUUUACAUUAAGUUUAAGUUGCAAAUAACAACGUCUAACUAGAUAGUAACUACGUUUACCUAAAAUGUGCUAAAACCUACAUUUGAAAUGGUGAUAACUACAUCUGAAUUCCCUCCAUAACUAUGUCUUAUUGGCUAAUAACUACGUUUUCUCUUCUUAUAUCUACCUUACAUUUUCAUCGACCAUACAUACAUCUAAGGUGUUAAAUACCUACCUCAAGGUUGUUAACGCCUAUAUUAGGUUCUAAAAAAAAAAAAAAAAAAAAAAAAAAAAAAAAAAAAAAAAAAAAAAAAAAAAAAAAAAAAAAAAAAAAAAAAAAAAAAAAAAAAAAAAAAAAAAAAAAAAAAAAAAAAAAAGAAAAGUGAGAAUAAAUAAAUUAAUUAAUAUGUAAAAUAAAUAAAUAAAUUAAAAUAAUGAUGUGGAAGUUAUGAAACUGCGCACGGCUACUAAAUUCAGCCGGAGACGAAAUCUCAGGAACCAGCGAAUUUGUUUUGGCAACGUACAAAAAGGAACUUCAGUUAGAAUUAAUUCGAAUUGGUUAGGGCCAGGCUUAGGAACUCGGAAAUUAAUAUGAUACGAUUAUCAAAAAAUUAGUGUGUCUUGUUAGAGACAAAUAUUAAUUUGAUUUCGGUCAAUUUUAAUCGGAUCAUGUCCUAUAAUGGACAUGCCGAUUGUAUGGAAUGAUUAAAUUAUAAAUCAUAUGAGUUUGGUAGAUCGGAUCUUAUAAAAACAAAAUAUAAAUCAUUAUUGAAUGAAUAGUAUUUGGUAUUUUUUAGAGGGGUUUGUUUUGAGUUUACUGAAACUUUAUUUUAAAUUUAUUAGGAUUUUAUUUUGAGUUUACCGAAACUUUAUUUUGAACUUAUAUAUUACCAUUUAUGGAUCUUGUGGUAUUUUCCAUUCUUUAAUUGACAUGACUUAAAUUGUCUCAACGCUUUCAUUUUGUUAAUAAAUUUUUUUAAAAAAAAAAUUCAUCUAUAUCCACUUAUCCUCUAAAACAUUUUACAGUAUCGCACGAAUAAUUCUAGUUAUCAAUAACUGUUAUUCUUACUCUUUUUAGACAGAAAAUGCUAACAAUCACUAUCCGCUACACUCUAAAAUCCAUUGUUUGAUAAAAAGAACAGUCAAAUCGUCGAAUAGAUUAGGAGAGAAACAAAUGCAAUUAUCCAUGAAUUAACUUUUUUUUAUCUCUUGUAAUGGCAUGUUCGACAAAUUUAUUUGCCUAUGAGUUAACUCGAUAACAUGGUCUAGCAUACCACUUUGUUAUGAACCGGUAUUCCAUAGAUUAAGUUUGUUUCUCUCGGAAUGAGAGCCUCCCUAGAAUUAGGGUUUUGAUGGCGCGGAGUUAGGCUUUGUUCAUUGUUGAAUCGAGCUUCUACCCUUAGCACGAUCACAUGAGGACAGAGAUAGCGUACGUUCGCUAGGAUUUUCGCAACUGAUCAAAUACUAAAAGAAAGGACCGGGAUACAUAGCGAUGGACAGCACGACGAUGGAACAUCGGUUGGCGCAACUGACGUCAGGGUUGGAUGAGGAGAAGGAGCCGGCGUCUUGAGGACGAGGAAGAGAGGAGGAGGAGUCGACGUUAUGUGUAGCAGCUGGUCGGUUGGUUUCGGACAAGAGCAACAACUUUGUUGCGCUUGUGGAGACCGGGGAAGGGGAUUACCUUUGAAGACCUGGGUAAUACGCGGGUGCUGAUCUAGUUUUACCAUGAGAUUGACCUUCGACGUGUAGUAGACUACGGGCCAUGGAUUUUUGACAAUAGCUUGCUGGCGCUGCGAGAAUUACAACCAAGAGAUUACCCUAAAACAAUACCAAUUGACGAGGAUGCUUUCAGGGUGCAGUUGCACGAGCUCCCAGUUCAUUAUCAGACUACAACUAUCAGGAAGGGCAUGGGGAAUUAUAUUGGAACGUUUUCAAUUACAAUUAACAGUGAGCACAUAUGUGCGUGUUCGAGUGAAGCUGGAUAUAACACUACUGUUGAAGCGAGAGAAGAAGGUUAAAAAGAAUAACGGUCCGAGCGUGAUGUGUAAAUUUAAGUACGAUAAGCUACGAAAUUUCCGUUACAUAUGUGGCAAGAUGGGACAUGUUGAUCGAUAUUGUGAUGUUCUUUUCCAUACACCGGCGGACAAAAUAGUGAGGCUAUGGGAUGAGUCAAUUCGAGCGGGCGACCGUAAGCAAAAAGUGCGGGAGGGGAAUCAACAUCUAGUGAAGAAGUAGGACAGAAAGGCAAGGUUAGAGCUGGUAAGGAGGGGUGGAGGAGUCCCAGGGACGGGAAAGGUUGGGACGAUUUUCAAACAGGUGGACAGAAUGGAGAUGAGCGGAAGGAGCAGUACACAAGGAGAUGGUUCAACCGGAAAUCGGAGUGCAAUCCAGGGAGAGUUGACCCCAUCUCAGUCAGGUGUACCACCUAGUAUUGACGUGGAUGAGGAUUCAUUGAUGAUCAGGGAACCAAACAAGCGGAUUAGAACGGAGGGAGGAGGUAGGGGAUGGAUGGGGGCAAUGGAGGAAGAUACCGGGUUGCAAUAUCAACUUGGCAGAUCAUAGGAAAAAGAUAGUUCCAAACCAAAAAACAUGAAAUUGACGGACUGUGUGAACGCAUUCUGCCCGUCAUCAUGAUUAUCUUGGCCUGGAACUGCUGAGGAUUGGGCCAACCUCGUGCAGUCGGCGUAUUGAGUGAGCUUAUUCGGGCUCACAGGCCGGACGUGGUGUUUCUUUCCGAAACACUCGUCAAUUUACAAAUAUUAGAGGAUAUUCGAAUAAAAAUUGGUUUUGAAGGAUGCUUUGGGGUUGAUGCGCAAGGUCACAGUGGAGGGUUGGGUGUACUGUGGAAAGAAAGAGACAUGAUUCAGAUAUUACGUUACGGGUAGAACUUGGUACAUAUAACUGUAAUAGAUGCGACUCGAGCAAAUUGGGCACUGAUUGGGUUUUAUGGAUGUCCAGAGAGGACACGCCAAAGGGAGUUGCGGCGCAAACUCAGGGACCAUGGUGUGUGGUGGGUGAUUUUAACGAUAUUCUUCACCAAGAUGAACAACGGGGACGACAUGAACGUCCACAACCAUUUAUUGAUGGGUUCCAGCAGGCGAUAGUAUACUGUGAUUUGGUUGAUUUGGAGCUAGAGGGAUACCUGUUCACAUGGGCAAGAGCGAAAAAGGAAGCCGCACGGAGUAGAGUCGUGACUUGAUUGGGCUAUGGUGAACCCGGAGUGGUUGACGAUGUUCCCAGAUAGUACGUUGAGUAAUGUGGUGGCGGCGCUUUCGGACCAUUCACCGAUUGUUGUUAAUACAACAGGGCAAGUAUUCCAAUGAGGCCAUCGAUGUUUUAAGUUCGAUAAUAAAUGGAGUAGGGAGGCAAAACUGAAGGGGUUGGUGGCGGAGUAAUGGAUCGAAGGUCAGGAAGGAUCGGUUUUUAGAACAUUGGGUCAGUGUGCAGAUCGCUUGGAGAAGUGGGGGAGGAAGCUUGCUCUCCGCUUCAAAAUGGAGCUAGGUGAAAUUCGAUGGAGGAUGGAGGAAUUGCGAGAUGGGACAGGAGGGAGGACAGCGGAGGAAGAGCGGAAGUGUAGAGAGAGAGAUUUGUGCAGCUGUUGCAGCAAGAGGAAGAGCACUGGCAACAACGCGCAAAACAAUUUCAUUUGCGGGAGGGUGAGUGAAUCACUCGUUUCUUUCACGAGACGGCGAAUGGGAGGCGUAAGCACAAGCAUAUUACGCGGCUUAGGAAUGAGGAAGUAAAUUGGGUGGAGGAGUCGGCGGAACUGGCGGGAGUGGCUGAAAUGUAUUUUCUAACAUUUUUUCAGCGGGUGAGUGUUACCCAGAAAUUGUAACUAAUGCUGACGGGGUCAUAUUAUUUUGGAGGAGGAAAAUGCACAGCUUUGCUCAGCCUUUACGAAGGAGGAGUUCACCGCGCCAGUGUUCUCUAUGGAUGAGGAUAAAGCCCGGGGCCAGAUGGCUUUAACCCGGGGUUUUAUAAGCAUUUUUGGUAUUUAAUUGGUGAUGAUGUGUUCCAAGAAGGCAAGCAGUGGCUAGAGGAGGGUGUGUUACGAGCAGAGGUUCACGAAUCGAAUGUGGUAUUAUUACCAAAGGUGGCCAAACCAGAGAGUAUGCAGGACUUGAGACCUAUUUCAUUGUGUAGUGUGUUGUAUCGGGUGGUGGCUAAAGUGCUCGCAAAUCGCCAGCGACGGGUGCUACUAACUCUCAUUUCGGAGGAGCAGUCAACGUUUGUUAAGGGUCGAUCUAUUAUUGAUAACGUCAUGGUAGCUUUCAAGACUCUACACAGUAUGAGGCGAAGGUGAAAUGCAAAACAUGGGGAAGUAGCGGUGAAGAUUGAUGUAUCCAAAGCUUACGAUAGGGCCGAGUGGCCGUAUGUAGAGGCGGUUCUACAUAAGCUUGGGUUCGCGGAUCAAUGGGUACGACUUAUGAUGUGUUACCUCUGUGCAUUAUACUAUUUCGUUGAAUGAUGAUAGGAUCGAUCCAAUAAACCCAACAAGGGGACUACGACAAGGGUGUCCUCUGUCGCCGUUUCUCUUUAUCUUGUGCGAAGAAGGGCUAUCAACACUUUUCAAGAGAACAAUCGCUACUGGACGAAUUCAUGGGACGAGGGUGUGUCGUGGGGCACUAGCGGUCUCUCAUCUGCUUUUUGUUGACGACGGUUUCUUUUUUGUAUGGGCGGAAAUACAUGAGGCGCGUACUCUUAGACAAAUACUAGACGACUACACACGUUGAUCGGGCCAGCUUAUUAACUUUCAGAAGUCAGGAAUAAUGUUCUGUAAGAAUACCCACCCUAUGUUAGCUGCAGGUAUCUCAGAGACUGUGGGUAUCUCCCAACCUCUUGAUAUGUGGGGUUACCCUCAUGUGUGGGACGUAACAAACGACGGAUCUUUCAGCACUUGAAGGAGCGUAUUUGGCGCCGGUUACAGAAUUGGAGAGGGAAGAAGUUGUCAAAGGGAGGAAAGGAGGUAUUAAUUAAAGCAGUGGCCCAGGCAAUCUCUAUUUACUAUAUGACCACCUUUCUCCUUACUAAAAGUGUGGCGGAUGAACUAGAGAAAAUUAUGAAUAGUUUUUGGUGGGGUACAAAAGGGAAGGGGAGAAAGGGAUUGUGUGGAUGAGGUGGGAACGAUUGAGUGUGGCGAAGGAGUUUGGGGGUUUGGGUUUCAAGCAUCUUCUUAAUUUCAACUUGGCAGUGUUGGGGAAGCAAGGUUGGAGAUUACUCUCUGAACCGGAUACUCUGGUGUCACGAGUCUUCAAAGCUAAAUAUUAUCCGAAGGGGGAAUUUUUAUCGCGGCCGAGGGCCAUAGUCUGAGUUUCAUAUGGCGGAGUGUCCGUGCUACUCAGGAUUUUCUUAGGGUUGGGUUGAGAUGGAAGCUAGGAGAUGGUCAUUCAAUCAGGGUGUGGAAGGACCUAUGGCUAUGAGCUGAAGGGAAAAGAUGGAUUCGUACGCCAAGGGUUGAGGAGCUAGAAGAUAUUACGGUUAGUGAUCUUAUGAUUCCAGGGAUGCGUCGAUGGGAUGAAGACUUGAUAGGGGUUUUACUAUGUGCGGCGGACGUGCAUGCAACCUCCACUUGGCGGCAGAGACACAAGGCUAUGGCACUUUAGUCGUCACGACAAUUACUCAGUCCGCUCCGCGUAUCGUCUUCUCGCCAAUGUAUGGGGGAAACAGGGGGUUUGCAGGUCGAAGGGGAGUGGAAACGAUUAUGGAGUAUGGAAGUUCCACAAAAGAUGCGUCACUUCAUGUGGAGGUGUGUUAGAGAGGUGCUACGGACGAGGGGAGUUCACAUCAAUGAGGGGUGCAGAUUGUGUGGGGAAGGGGAGGAAACAAUUGAUCACCUCUUCCAUAACUGCCCAACUACUCCUCGAUGUUGGGAGGUGGCUGGUCUCAUGAUAGCAGUGGAGCGGAGUUGGGAGGAAGUCACGAGUUUCCCGGCCUGGUGGUUCAGGUUUCAUAGUAAGGAAUCAGCGGCGGUAGUUUCAAAAGCGGUUGGGAUCACGUGGAGUGUAUGGAAUGAACGCAUAUGGCAGCAUCGAUCGAGACCGGAGGAGGUAAUUGUGAAGAGUGGUUCCGACGCAGUGAUGGAAUGGCGACUUAUGCAAGAAAAUAAUAAACCAGCUGGAAUUAACAGGAGUGGUGGUCGCUGUGAUCGAUGGCACCUGCCGGAGGAUGAUACGGUUAAAGUAAACCUCGACUAACCUCGACGGGGCCAUUUUUGAGGAGCAUAGAUUGCAUGGGGUCGGAGCCAUAAUGCGAGAUGAAGGUGGGAACUACCUGGGACGUUUUCAGGCGUGCUUUCAGGCAGUUGUUCCGGCGAAGGAGGCAGAGGCACGUGCAUUGGAAAAGGCCAUAGGUUGGGCUAAGUUAACAGGCUACCGUAACAUCGUGUUCGAAACGAAAUCCUCUCAAAUUACAGUUAUUUUUUUCGAAACGAAAUCCUCUCAAAUUACAGUUAUUACAUUUUAGUAGUAACUUGACUAUGCGUUUCAAUAUUUUUUUAUUAAGAAUUAAUUCGAAUAAGAGACUCAUGCUUAUUCUUGUCUAACAAAAAGCAACCGUAAAUUCUAAGAGCGCACAACUUAGGACUCUUCUUUCUUCUUCUUAAAGACCACCAAAAUUGAAAUCCGAGUUUUGCUUCUCAGACAUCAAGAAGCAGUCUGCGGGGAUCCUCGACGACAUCCUUAAUUCGACGCAGGAAGAAUACAGCCUCUCUCCCAUCAAUCAGCCUAUGGUCAUAGGUCAGAGCAAUGUACAUCAUUGGCCUUGGCACCACGCUCCCUCCAACUACCAUUGGCCGGCUCACUAUUGAGUGCAUUCCCAAUAUUGCAGACUGCCAAACCGAAAUACCAAACAUCAAAAGGUUUACACAUAUGAGAAGAAUGAACGUAUCGAAAAGCAUAGGCAAUAUCUCUCCAAGUUCAAAAAAAAAAUACUAGUCAAACCUGAGGAGGGUUGAUGAUCGGAGUACUCAAAAGGCUUCCAUAGACACCACCGUUCGAUAUCGUAAAUGAACCUCCUGCCAUCUCAUCUAUUGAAAUAGUCCCAUCAUUAGCCUUCUUAGCAAGGGUGUUGAUCUCCUUCUCAAUAUCAGCAAAAUUCAUCUUCUCAGCAUUGCGAAUUACAGGCACAACAAGUCCCUGCAAGAAAGAGACAGGACCAAUAAAUACAAAUAUAUCUGACAACAGCAAACCAGCCUGCCAUUGCUGGCAUCAACCACUGACGACUAAAUUUACAGUCAAUUCUGCCAAUAUGUUCAGACUGAGAUAUGCAGAACAAACCGUUGAAUAAAGAGAUGAGGACAAACCUUUGGAGUUCCAACUGCUAUACUAAUGUCUAUGUAAUCCCUAUAUAUAAUAUCAUCCCCAUCGAUCACGGCAUUUAUAACAGGCUGCUGCUGGAGCGCAGAGACAGCUGCCUGAAAUAACUCAGCAAAAACAACAAGUGUGAGAAACAGAAACACGUUGUGGUAAAUAUGUUUUCAAAGAAAGACAAUAUUCUUACCUUGAUAAAACCAGACAUAAGUCCCAACUUCACACCAUGCUUUUCAACAAAAGCAUCCUUGUAUUCGGAACGAAGCUUCAUCAAAUUGGUCCUACAAUAAGAAUAAAACCUUAACAGUGUGUGCUGUGGAACUUGUGGAGUUUGCGUCCAUUAUAAUCUCCAGCCUAGCAUCAGUUUAUUGAACAAAAAGAAAAGGCUCAAUCAUGUUAAGGGAGCUAAACCGACUCACAUAUCAACUUCAUUAAAUGUUGUCAGCAAGGCAAAUGUGUUCUGCGAGUCCUUCAACCGUGUAGCAACUCUUUUGCGAAGUCUGGUCAUAGGAACCUGCCAAAACAAGACACACAAAAAGUAUCAGGCCGAGGCACAGAUAAUAUGCCAUUUCAGAUUCACUCGGCAAAAAAAUUGAUAAAAAAAACAAACAGUAAAGAACUUACUCGUCUUUCUCUAUCCUUGGGAGGAAGCUGAGGCUCUGUAGCAGCUUGUCUCGGAGGUGAUGCAGCUGAUGUUGAUUUCUUGGGUUUCUCUGUACUAGGAGAAGACUCGGGUUUAGAAGUUUGUUUUACCUCAUCUUUCUUUUCAGAUGGCUUAGGUGCAGCAGUCUCUGGUAAUUUUUCAGAUGGAGCAACAUGAGAUACCCCUUCACCAGACUUUGAAAUGAUAGCAACCAUUGUUCCUGGCUCAACAGUGUCUCCUUCUUUGGCUACAAACU